RNAcentral lists this ribosomal RNA (444 nucleotides) under uncultured bacterium. RNAcentral describes it as "bacterial SSU rRNA". It matches the Rfam family "Bacterial small subunit ribosomal RNA", at positions 331 to 792 of the family's 1533-position model. The record is from RNAcentral.
CCAGACUCCUACGGGAGGCAGCAGUGGGGGAUAUUGGACAAUGGGGGGAACCCUGAUCCAGCGACGCCGCGUGAGUGAAGAAGUACCUCGGUAUGUAAAGCUCUAUCAGCAGGGAAGAAAAUGACGGUACCUGACUAAGAAGCCCCGGCUAAAUACGUGCCAGCAGCCGCGCUAAUACGUAUGGGGCAAGCGUUAUCCGGAUUCACUGGGCGUAAAGGGAGCGCAGGCGGCAUGGCAAGUCUGAUGUGAAAACCCGGGGCCCAACCCCGGGAGUGCAUUGGAAACUGCCAGGCUGGAGUGUCGGAGGGGUAAGCGGAAUUCCUAGGGUAGCGGUGAAAUGCGUAGAUAUUAGGAGGAACACCAGUGGCGAAGGCGGCUUACUGGACGACUACUGACGCUGAGGCUCGAAAGCGUGGGGAGCAAACAGGAUUAGAUACCCGAGUA